Long non-coding RNA from Manis javanica (Malayan pangolin), 3985 nucleotides. RefSeq lists it as uncharacterized. Lineage: Eukaryota; Metazoa; Chordata; Mammalia; Pholidota; Manidae. The record is from RefSeq and is a predicted model, not a curated record.
GGACGGGGCGGCGGGAAGGGGUCGGGGCAAACGAUCCCAGUGGUGUUCGUGGCGGCUGAUGCAGCAGCAGGAAAAAUCUCGGCGGCGACAAGAACGACUCCGUCCGAAAAGGAAGAAUUGGGUCGGCGGUGAGGGGGAAGGGUGGAAAGCCGGACGCUGGAAAAGGAAGACUUAAGAGUGGCCACGGUCGCCACGGUCUCUUCUCAGCUGGCUCUAGAUUAAAGUGCGGCUUCCACCACACCUAAGCCACUGAGGCCGUGCUGUGAAGAUGGCCAAGGAUGUCUGCAUUGCCUCAGUCGAGCGAUUGCUGCUCCGCCCUUUGCUGGGCUUCGGUAGCCUUUCAGUGCAUUUGAUGGAGCUGACCAUGCUGAGAGUUGGAGAGCGAGCCUUCCUGGCCGAGGGACUGCACCCCACAAAGGCCCUGAGAUGCCGGCAAGCCUAGGGGGCUCAGGAAACAGGGAAAGGGCUGGUGUGGCUACAGUGCAGGAGCAAUGGGUCUGACCUGAGAAGGCAGAGUCUGCAAGGCCAAGUCACAUGGCCCCUCGUCAGCUAGAGGGGAGCCUUGGCUCUGGGCCUGGCACAGAGCAGGUGCCAGUAUUAGCUCCUGUCACUGUUAUUAUUAAGAGCUUAAUGGUGCCAAGUGUGAGAAAGGUGGGAAGAGGACUGGGGAGAGAAAUGUAGAGAAAAUCCCAGGCCUUGAAGAGCCUUCUGCUUAGUUGAGGGUUUAGAUUAAACCUGUUACAUAGGUAACUGGACAAGAGAGCCUGAGAGUUGAUUUCUUGAUGGUCAGUUUGUAGUCAUCCCCUGGCCCCCAUGACCUGUCACAUCCUUUUUUGGUGAACUGUGUCCCAUUCAGUGAUUCUCUCUAGAUAAAUUAAGGUUCAUUUAUUCACUUGCAAGGGAGCAAAAGUGAGCUGUGAGUCCCACUGAAGAAAGAGCUGACUAGGAAGAUCCUACCCAUGAGACGUAGUGCGGGCUGGGGACAGAGGCAACCCCGGUGUCCCCUCCACUUUCCCAGGUGACUCAGAAUAAUCCCCUCCCGACAAACCACACGCUGCUCUGUGCCAAGCUGCAAAGCUCACAAAAGAAACCAGACUCUGUAAGCAGCUCUUUGGGUCCUUGAGGCAACACAUGUGAUCUAAAGUGGGUGUGUUUUUAUUCUCCUGGUGUCCUUGCCACACUCAUCCCUACGAGGGGCACACCUGUAGGCACACACACACAUACACACACUCAACAUCCAGAUAUUUAAAAUACACACUCAUCCCACACACACACUAUACUCAGCAUAUACAACAUAGAAACACAACACACAAGCUCAGUAUACACUCAACAAAUACACACCCUCAACGUACAUACUCAACAAAUACACGAGCAAUGCACCCACACAUUCAAUACACGUGCAUGUACCUAUACUACACACACACACACAAAACACCUGCACAGUCAACACUCACUCAAACAUUUAUGCACAAUCUGAACAUUCAUGAUGCUGGAGGACUAUGAGAUACUCCUAUUUCUUUGCCUUUAUUGCCCAGCAAACUGACAGUGGGACAGUGUAGAAAACUGAAGUGAGUCAGGAAAGAUUCACUACUUCCAGUUAUAAUUUGAUGCCAUCUAUCUGCAGAUCAGAGUCUGGUAGAAAGGAGAUCAAGGAAAAUGAGCAGCUAAUUCUGAACACAUGAAGACACACUGGCAUGGUGCAGCUCUCUCUUUCUGCAUCUGUCUCUCUGUCUCUGUCAGUAUCUGUAAUUAUGGAAAAGUUGGCCCAGAAGUGAUCCAUUUAGAAAUGAGCUUGACAAAGAGUUAAUAGGUACAUGGCUUUCAGAGAACACCUGUCUGAAAUGGGGUAACCUGAGGUUACUCCCACAAAGCUUGAAAUCUUUGAAAAUGUUCCAGAUACCAUCUAGGCAAACUGAUAGACAUUGGGGGAUACAAAACCAAAACUUUAUUGAAGAAUCUCAUGAACAAGUGGUAUAUAUGAUCUUGCCGUAUCUAAAAUUAAUUCACUUUCAUUUGCAAACUCUGACGCUAGCAGACUUCUUCCUCAAAAUGAUAAGCCCAUGGAGCAUUCUGGGAAAUGGCAUGUAAAUGAGUAAUAUCACCAUGUUCCCAGUUUUUGAAGCUGGUAGAUUGUUCAUAUGGCAAGAAAUGUGCUAGGGAAGAGUGUGUUCCAUCCCUAAUCUGGUUGUUUUCAGACUUCUCUGCUUGAGGACAUUUUGUCAUUACACUAGUUUUCCAGCGUUCCUCUUUUUCACGUCUGGAAGCUCAACUUUCUUUUCUCUCAUGCUCCAUUUUUGGCAUUCCAGGGGAGUGCGAUAUCUUUAUUGUCUGCAUUUUAGAUUCUAAAGCAUCUGUCAAGUGUCUACAUGUGUCUGGCUCAAAGAGGUGCUUCACCUGAAGAAAACUUAAUAGAGCUUUAAAAGUCAAAGUCACCAAGAAGGACUCAGCAAGAUUUGACAAUUGUCUUGGUAUUUUUUGUUGUUUUUGUCUUAAAGUUUAAAAAUGUAUUAAUAAUCUUAUUUUAGAACAUGCUAAUCUGCUACUGAUGGAAAUGGGAGGGGAAAAAAACUGGUUCAUCACCCACAGAUAGUUUGAGAAAUAACAUAACAGACAACAUCAAAACCAAGAAAUUCUAUUCAUGAAAUACCCAUAAAAGAGGAAAAGACAAGCCACAGAAUGGGAAAACAGUAUUUACAGCACAUUAUUUGUUAAGGAAGUGAUAAGAACGAACUCAAGUAAAAAUGGGCAAAAAAACCCAGACACUUUACGUGAGAAAUCCCAAUGCCUGGUGAACACGUGGGGAGGGCUCAACCUCACUAUCACCAGGGAAAUGAAUAUUAAAGCCACAGAGCCACCAGAUCAACAGAAACUAAGUCUUGUCGUCCCAAAUGUUGCUGAGGAUGCUGAGCAGCAGGAGCUCGCUGGUGGGAGAGUAAAGCAGUCGGAGCCUGGGAACACUCUCUGGCAGCAUCCUCUAAAGCAGAACAGAAGAAGCCAGACAUGUAGGCAGCAGUUAAUACCACUCCCAGUCCUGGUCCUAGGAACAAACCCUAUGAUGAAGGCAGCAUGGUUUGUGAUGGUUGUAAAGUGAAAACUAGCCAAAUGCCCACCAGCAGUGACUGGACAAAUAGAUGGCAUGCUGUUCAUGCUAUGGAAGAGCAGACAGCAGUGAAGACCAUCAGGCCACUGCUUUGGACAGUGACGUCGAUGAAGAUCACCGACUGCACCCUCUGUCCACCCAGGUGCAGUGCCUCUCAGGGCCAGAUCUCCUAGACACUCAGUGACAUCCUAGUGCUGGACUUGCUCCUGUCGGCAGAGCCUGCGCCUGCUGGAUGCCCAGGCAUCAACCAGUGAGACAAGGUCCCUGAAAGGCCUGGGUGGGAGGAGUCCUGGCCUCCCCUGGUCACUGCUGUGCUGCUGCUGGCAGUGCUGUGUGGAGCAUUUGGCCUGACAGUUCUUGAACUCCAGGUGCUUGUUCAGGUUGAGCCCUAUGACCCUCCCGCACCUCAGAGGCUGGUACCUGCCCUUCUCCAAGUGUUUCCCCAGCACCUGCUGCUGUUCCCAGCUGUGAACCUGCAUUCCUGCUGCCACCUCCUCUGGAGCCUGGGGAUGGCAUGGGGUUCAUGAGAUUCUUAGAUCUUCACGUCUGUCCGAGGAGCUUGCCAGUCUUGUGGAGCACCGGGGAACCCAGCAGUGCCUGAGACCAGCGGCCAUCCUGAGCUAAAGACGGCUGCUCAGGGCCCUCUGGCCAAGUCAGCUCACCUCCUCUCAUCUCAUCUAAUCUAAGUCAGAAGUCAGCAUCCCGCCCUUGACUCUGCUUUUAGAGAGAGUGGGGUGACUCUGGAGACGGCCCUUCCAAGGAUACAGUGAGAAGUCAGCAGUCCGUGACCUGGAAGGGAGCCUCACCGGGGCCUAACCCCGCUGGCACCCUGACCUGCACCUUUGAGCCUCCAGAACUGUGAGAAAUAAAUGUGUGUUGUUUAAG